UGCCAUUUCACGCAAAUCGUUGCAUGUUUUUUGGUUUCCCAAAAAUAAGAAAUUUGCAGGUGAUUGAGGAGGAAAGAGAUGCUGGAGAUGUGGAAUUGAGGAGACAGUACGAGAAAUGACAGCACUUCAACUGUGUCAACUGCCACUCUCAUCUGCUGCAACCCAAUCCUCCUCCUUUCGUCGCACCCAUCCAUGUUCAUUUCUAGCUCUGAGUGACAAAACCCGAUUCAUAAUUCAAAGGAGGAAAACCAGAGUAAAAACUGUACGGGUCAGGAAGGAUGAUCUUACAGAAACACAACUAUCCACCUCCUCACCUGCCCAAAAUUAACAGCAGUAGCAGCAGCAAGAACCUGACCUCCAAGACCUUGAAUAUGUCCGCCAAAUCCAAAAUGUUCGUUCUCUUUUCCCUCUUUUUUGUAUUUUAAAAAUGAUUUCUUGCUUACCCAUUUCUUCAUAGUAGUGAAUCGUUAAGCUUUGUGUCUGUAUAUGCGUAGGUCUUGGAGCUACUCAGGAAAAAUAGGGACACGCUCUUCAGCGAGAUUGGAAUGUCGCUUACUCCUUUGAUGAUUAGAUGGCUAAGGAAGGGGAAGGUAAUACUAGGUUUCCCAUAGAAUGAUUAAUGUUAGGCGUAGAGUAAAUAGUGUUGCAUUUUUAGGCUUAAAAGUUGUUAAAAUAGAUGACCCCCAUAAGUAAUAAAAGAGAGUUUUAGGAAUUUUUACAGUGAGCAUUUUGAAAACAAUAAACUUAGCGAGGAAUAGAAAGUAGGCUAGAGAGACAAUUUUCAGAAGAAGAGGUUUAGAUUCACUGUCUUUGAGGGAAAGUAUAGGGUACAUGAUUAGGUUGGUAUGAUAUUGAAAGGGUCGCCCUGGGUUCAAUUAGGGACCUAUUAGGUCUCAUUGUGGGUUGAUAAAGGGAGGGAAAAGAUUUAAGGAACUUUUAUUUUUGUUAUAAUUUGAGGUUUUAUGGUUGGAAGAAAUGAUAGAAUUUUCAGACAAAAGAAGAUGGGUGUUGAUGAAUUUAUGGAUUUGGUUAGGAUUCGGUUGGCUUGGUGGAUUAAUUCAUGCAUUCCCAGAUUGAAGCAAUUGCCUUUGAAUAGUCUCUUCAUCUCAACUCCAGAGUUGGCACUUGUGGGAAGAAAAAAUGGCAAGAUCAAACCUAUUACUUGGGACCCUCCUCCGUCUGGUUGUUGGAAAUUUAAUGUUAGACAAAUUGUUUUUUAGGUAAAACCGAGGCCUGCAGUUGUUGGUGGCAUGUUAAGAGACUGGUUGAGAAACAUAAGGUUUUUCUGUUCAAACAAAUUUUCUUGCAAUCAUUUUUUGAUAAAAACUCCAUUCAAGUCAAUAUAUUGUAUCAUGUAAACCAUUACUCAAAGCCUGGUACUGAAUGUAUAUUAAAGAAAUCAAUUUGAUUAAGAUACACCAAUGAUCUCUUGCUUGGAAAGCCCAUUGAUUGAACCAAUUUCUUGAACUAAACUCAUAUAUAGAUUGCUAGAAAUUCCAAUAGGAAGAUUUUUCCAUCAUGAAUUUGUCUUUAUUUCUUGUUUUGUAACUUGAUAGGAAAAGAGAAUUUCUUAUUUAUUUAUUUACGUUUUCAAAUAUUAAUCAAAUUAAAACUAUAACUAUACACAUUUUAAUAUCAAAACAAAAUUAUUUUUAAAAAAUAUUAAAUCCUAUAUAUGGAAUAGAUUCUUUUUUAAAAAAAAAUAAAUAUCUAAGUAAUUUUUUUAAUUAUUUUUAGUAACGAAAAUAUUAUAGAUAUAAAAAAAUAAAAAUAAAAAUAUAUUAUUAUUAUAUUAGUGAAAUGAGUAAAAAAGGAUGAAAUGAGAUAGGGCUGGAAUCCAUUUCCUAAAGUCUUUUCCCUAAUUUAAAUAAGGUGGAGAAUUUUUUUCAUUUCCUAUUUAAUUCAAAGCCAAAUGAAGCGUUGACCUAUCUUCAUUCGUAAUCUUUCGUUAGAUCUCUAUUAGAUUUAAAUUAACUUGUCAUCUCAGUAGAAAGCCAUUAAAAACUUUUUAAAGCUUCUUGACAAAUUUUCUAAACUCUUAUUUGUAUAAUAAAUAAAAAAAAAACUUUUAGCUACAUGUCCAAAAUAUUCUUUAAUAAAAGAAAUGACUCAUGUAUAACCCAUCUUAAGUAGUAAAAUCUUGCACUAAAAAAUACCUCCUUAACUUCUAAUACCUUUUUUUGUUUGUCAAUGUCUUAUUUGUUUUCGUACAUAUUUAAAUAAAAUGAUAUCAAUCGUAUUUAAAAAUAACUUGUAUUACCUUCUAAGAUAAAGUUUUAAAUAUUUUUAAGAACUUCAAAAAUGAUCUUAAAUUAAACCCUUAAGGCACAUGCUAAAGUUUAACAUUUACUAGCAAACAUCACGCCAAUAUGAUUCCUCACAAGGAGGGACGUCUCUAAGUAAAACUACUUGUUUAAUAUAUUCAUUCCUUUUUUAUUGAUAAACAUCAUAACCAUUUUUGGUAUAUAUCUUGAUAAGACAGUAGUUAUCAUACUUGAAAACAGAGUUAUGAAUUUUAAAUAAGAUAAACUCUUAAAUAUUUUUUAAAAAUAUCAAAAUUUAAUGAUAAGAUAAAACAUUUAAGUCAAAAUACCAAAUACAUGACUCUUAAUGAAUCAAAUCACCUAGUGUAACGACCCGUGAACUUGAAAAAAAUAAAUUAUAAAUUAAAUACGGAAGAAAAUAAUAAAUUAGGGUUUAUGUUCCAUACACAAUAAUUCGGGAUACCCAAUAGGACUACGAGAAUAACUCUUCUAAAUAAACAACUAAUAAUCAAAGAAAUAAAUGAAAAGUAAACAAACUAGAAAUAAAUGAAAAGUAAACAAACUAACGUUCUACUCGCAACCCUCUUGUGGAUCGGGUCCUGGAUCUUGGUUCUCUUGAUUUGAAAUGGUUAAUGAAUGAGUGAGCUAUAUUACUCCUGUAAGAAUAUCACACUACUCACCGACACAUAAAUAAAUGUUCGUAGAAAUCAUAAAAAUAACUAAUUAAACUUUUAAUUUAAGUACAAUUUAUUUAUUAUAAACAAAAUUAUUUACCGCAUGCUUACUCCAGCGAGGUUUCCAAAAUCAACCUAUAGAGUCAAUAACAUAAACAAUAUAAUAUUUUCAUAUUCAAUCAGUAGGAACAAUAACUUUCUCAUUUAUUAACCUACUGGUAUCCAUUGGGGUCCACAGGGAUGUCCACACUACGUGUGAACUUUUUUUCAAUAUUUUCAACUAACGGGCCAUCCCCAUACCCCUUCUGGUAUGAGCGCUAAGAAAUACCACCCCUCAAUACUCCGUCCGAUAUAAGGGUAAAACGGGUCGUCCUUAUACCCCGUCUGGUAUGAACACCAAAUUACCAAUCCUCGAUAUCUCGUCCGGUAUGAAGAAACGUUCACGGUAGGGUUUCCUAUGUACUAGGUCCAUCCACCAUCUCUUAGGAUAUCCAGUAAGGCUGUCAUUCAUCCAUUCACUUAAUCAAACAAUUUUCUGUUUACCUUUAAUUUUCAAUUUCUCAAUUAACCAUAAAUCACGUAAAACAAACAAUAUAUGCAUCAAGGGAACACAAUCGAAUUAUCAUACCAAUUCCAGUGUAUUAUCAUGUAUUCGAAAACGUAAAAUAAAUCAAUCAGUGAAAUAUGACAAACAAUAAUAGAUAACCGGUUCUGGCUCCAUUAAUAACCUUUAAUUAUCGAUAUUUCUAAAUUAUGUAAAAUACCAUAUUAUUCAUAAUUAAACUUCAAUUUCAUAACUAGGAAUAAGGUGAGGGAUCUUACACAAAUUGAUGUUCGAGAUGAUAAACUUUCAAUUGCGCCUACUGGCGGUUCCCGAAUUUUUUAAAUUUUCCUUCGGGGAUUAAAACACACUUCAAAUACCUAGAAAUAUCCCAAAAAAUUCAAAAUCAGUGUUACAGACCCCUUUUGGCCAAUUUCAGAAUUUCAGCACGGCGGCUCAGCCGUGCUCUGGCGAUGGCACCGCCACGCACAGUGGCGGUUUAUCUUGGGUUGGCUGAUUUCAGCUAGUUUUGUACCCAUCCCUAUGAAAAAAAUACAUUAAGAGGCAUCGGUUAGCCAAGAAAAAAGUCAAAACACUGAAGUUUACCAGCAGCGGAGUUUUCCAAUACGGCGGCUCCGCAAGCUCACCUUCGCAGUUAGGUGUUUUACUUCGGUCAACCUAUAUAAAAAGGAAUGGUGAUUACAAUGGUGGAAAAAUUACAUGAAAUGAGAAUCGGGAAUGACCUCAUCAGAGGCGAUUUUUUACUUUUUUUCGCAGCAGCGCUGUCGGACUUUAUCCAUAGUUUUUACCUCAUCCGCCGGUCUUUUUACUCCGAUUUAGCCAUGAGGGUGUUCAAAAUUGAAUUUUGAGUGAAUGAAAUUUUUUUUUACCUCUUUUGGUGAUCAGAAGUGGCUUCGGCACGACAACAUACGACGGUCGGCUCCCUUCCCAGUAGCCGACUUUUCUUCUCCGGCGAGGGGGUGUGGUGGCUAGGGUAGGGUUUGGUGUGAAGAGAGGUAUUUAUAUUCGUCUCCUUUUAAUCUGGGCUGUCUACUACGUUUAAUUUGGACUGUCCGAUCACGUUUAAAUAGGAAGUGAAUCUGAGUCGUUCAUCGCGAUUUGAUCUAAACUAUCCGAUCGCGUUUAAAUAGGAAGUGGAUCUGUGUCAUUCAACGUGUUUAAUCGCAACCGUCUGAUUGCGUCAGAGAGAGGAAUGGAUCCAGACUGUUCACGCCCGCGAGAACGAAUCUGGACCGUCCGAUCACAGACACGCAGAUUGCCAGCGUGGCCUCUUACGUGGCACCCCAUCAGUCUGCCUUGCCAAGUGGCGCGCUCUGAUUCGUCAGAGCUGCUGACUAGGUAUCGUACGUAGUACAUUUUUGUUAAAUUAUGUUUUGACCCUCAAUUUUUUAUUUUUCUUUCUAAAACACACUCAGAACCCAAAUUUUCACCCAUUUUUCCCAAAAUUAUUUUCAAUUUCAUCAUCUACCUAUUUUUUCCUAAUUUUACAUUAAAUAAUAAUUUAUAAAAUAAAAAAUUAAAUUUUAUACAUAAAUUUAAAUAUUACAAAUUUAAUUUCGGAUAUUACAACUCCCCCCUUAAAAGAAAUUUAGUCCCUCAAAUUUGUCUCUCUCUCAUUCAAUCAAGUAGUUGGAGAUACUAGGCUCUAAAGUCUGCUUCUAGCUCCCAUGUAGCUUCUCCCUGUGUGUGAUUCUGUCAUAGGACAUUAACGAAUGAACUUUUUUAGUUGCAGAGUAUUCUGCUCAUUCGGUCUAUAAUACCCACCGGUAUCUCUUCAUAGGACAGAUCCUCAUGAAGUAAAAGAGGCUCGUGGGCCAGGACGUGAGAGAGGUUUGGGUUGUACUUGUGUAGUAUGGACACAUGGAACACAUUAUGGAUUCUGGAUAGUUCUGGAGGUAGUGUCAGUCUGUAGGUGGCGGUGUCAAUUCUUUCUAAGAUUUCAAAUGGCCCAAUAAAAUCAGGUAUUUAGUUUCUCCCUCUUGCUAAACCUACUGAUUUUUUUGAAAAGAGUAACCUUAAAGAACACCCGAUCACCUUUCUCAAAUUCCAAAUCCCUCCUUCGUGUAUCCGCAUAAUUCUUUUGUCUACUCUAAGCCGUCUGAAUGUUUUUUCUGAUCUUAACUAUUUUGGUUGUAGUCUCCUCUAUAAGAUCUGGACCAAACAAUUUUCUAUCACCCACCUCUUCCAAACAGAUUGGCGAUCUCCAUGGGCGGCCAUUCAACGUCUCUUACGGAGCCAUGCUAAUACUUGCUUCGUAACUAUUAUUGUGAGCAAACUCUAUUACGGAUAAAUGAUCAUUCCAAUGGCCUCUGAAGUUAAGAAUACGAGCUCGGAGUAUUUUCUCCGGUAUGCGAAUUGUCCUUUCUUAUUGUCCAUCGGUCUGAGGGUGGAAUGCAGUACUAAGGGACAGUUUUAUUACCAUGGCUUGUUGAAAAGUAGACAAGAACUGCAAAGAGAAUCUGGGGUCCUUGUCGGACACUACUGUCACUUGUACUCCAUGUAACAUGAUUAUCUUUCGGAUAUAUAUUCUCGCUAAUUUAUCCAAGGGAUUGGUCAUCCUGAUGGCUAAGAAGUAAGAAGACUUGGUGAGUCGGUCAAUAAUUACCCAAAUGGAGUCAUGUCCCGAGUGUGCCCUAGAUAACCCUAUCACAAAAUCCAUUAUGAUAUGUUCCCACUUUCACUCCAGUAUUGGUAAUUGCUAAAGUAACCCGCCUAAGCUUUAAUACUCUACCUUGACUUGCUAACAUACCAAACACUUGAAAACAAAGUCGACCACAUCUCUUUCCAUCCCGUUCUACCAAAAUCGGAGUCGCAUACUUUGAUAUAUUUUAGUACUUUCGAUAUGCGUGACAAACUUUGAGCUGUGAGCCUCUGUUCAUGAUGUCUCUUUUCAGCUCACUGUCACAUGGGACACACAUCAUGUCCUGAAAUCUAAGUAACCCAUUAGUAGAGACCCAAAAUUCUGAAUUAACUCUCUGUUCUGCAUCCUUCUUGACGGCUACUAGGAUGGAAUCAAUGGAUUGUGAUUCCUUUAUUCUCUAGAUCAACUUAGGUUGGACAGUCAGGUGGCCCAAACAUGUGACGCUCUUCAAGUUCUGAAGUUGUACCUGUUGUGUGACCCUUAUUGUCAUACCUUCUGAAACUAUUAGAUGAGCUAAUAUACCUGCACUUUUUUUACUGAGUACGUCGGUUAUCGCGUUGCCCUUAUCAGUAUGAUACAAGAUAUUUCAAUCGUAGUCCUUGAAGAGUUCUAUCCAUUUUCUCUAAUGCGUGUUGAGAUCUUUUUGAAUGAAUAUGUAUUUCAAUCUCUUAUGGUCGGUAUACAUCUGAAAGAUCUCCCUAUAUAAGUAAUUGCGCCAAAUCUUCAAAGCGUGGAUAAUCGCAACAAGUUCUAAGNNNNNNNNNNNNNNNNNNNNNNNNNNNNNNNNNNNNNNNNNNNNNNNNNNNNNNNNNNNNNNNNNNNNNNNNNNNNNNNNNNNNNNNNNNNNNNNNNNNNNNNNNNNNNNNNNNNNNNNNNNNNNNNNNNNNNNNNNNNNNNNNNNNNNNNNNNNNNNNNNNNNNNNNNNNNNNNNNNNNNNNNNNNNNNNNNNNNNNNNNNNNNNNNNNNNNNNACAGUCAUGCAAUUUUUUGAUAUAUUUCCUCAACUCUUCCAUUUUUACAUGACUCAUUCGGUAAGGGAUAACUAAGAUAGGUUACGUGUCAAACUGAAAGUUUAUGGUGAACUUAACUUUCCUGUCCACUGGUGGUCCGAGAGGUUCAUCAAGAAAUACAUUCGGAAAGUCUCGGACUACUGGGAUAUCUUGAAUAUUGUGGAGAAAACAACUGAGUUAAAGCGUUAUGUACUAAGAAAUUUGUUAGGGGAUAAUAAUAUUUAAAAAUUUUAUUAGCUUGUAAAUGACUCUUUGUUAUGAGGCUUAAAUAUAAUUUUUCUCUUGGAAAUAAUCCACGGUGGCGUGAUACGUCGCUAACCAGUUCAUUCUUGAAAAUUUAUCAGAGUCCCCCCAUGUCAAUCUCUAUCAAGUCUGUCAUGGGUGAAACUGAGUCCCGUAGAAGAGGGGCCAGAUAUUACUGGGGAGGGACCGGGUGUCCUGUAACGGUGCCAGAUGAUACGGUGGGGGCUCCAAAUUGUAUUGUGACAGUGUCGGAUGAUAUAACGGAGGAGCAGGGUUGCAUCGAGGUAGCGUUAAAUCCUCUCGUUGUAGGGGUGACUCAUAGUGUGGUGGAGGGUCAGACAAUUCCCUCAUCUCUUCCCUGGUCUACUAGGUAGAGAUGAGUCUCUCUAAAAUCUCGAAAAGUCAAUCGACAUUCUCUCGAAGCGACCUGUCUCAGGCUGCGUUGUUCAAUAAAGGACCUCAUCUCCUUGUGUCUUUGUACUUAUUUUUAAUAAGAAAUGGUUGAGUGAUGAUUCAUUCUUUGGUAUUUCCUAGGAUUUUUGUGUAAGGAAUAGUUUUGAGGAACCUAGCUUUGAUACCAACUGUAAUGACUCAUGAACUUGAAAGAAAAUAAAUUAUGAAUUGAAUGCUCUGAGGAACCUGGCUCUGAUACCAACUAUAACGACCCAUGAACUUGAAAGAAAAUAAAUUAUGAAUUGAAUGCGGACGUGAAAUAAUAAAUUAGGGUUUACAUUCUUUACACAAUAAUUUGGGAUACCCAAUAGGGUUACGGGAAUGAUCUUUUAAAAAAAACAACUAAUAACCAAAGAAAUAAAUGAAAAGUAAACAAACUGAACGUCUUACUCAUAACCCUCUUAUAAAUCGAGCCUUGGAUCUACGUUCUCUUUAUCUGAAAUUGUUAAUGAAGGAAUGAGCUACACUAACCUAGUAAAAAUAUCACAUUACUCAUCGACACAGAAAUAAAAGUUGGUAGAAAUCAUAAAAAUAACUAAUGAAACUCUUAAUUUAAGUAAAAUUUAUUUAUCAUAAAUAAAAUUAUUUACCGGAUGCUUACCUCAGCGAGGUUUCCAAAAUCAACCUAUAGAGUCAAUGACAUAAACAAUAUCAUAUUUUCAUAUUCGAUCAGUAGGAAUAACAGCUUUCUCAUUUAUCAGUCUACUAGUAUUCAUUGGGGUCCAUAGGAAUAUCCCUACUACGAGUGAACUCUUUUUGAACAUUUUUAACUAACGAUACAUCCCCAUACCCCGUCCAGUUUGAGUGCUAAGAAAUACUAUCCCUCAAUACCCUAUCCGGUAUAAGAGUGAAAUGGAUCGUCCCCAUACCCUGUCCGAUAUGAGUGCCAAAUUUUUAAUCCUCGAUACCCCGUCCGGUAUGAGGCAACAUUCACAGUAGGGUUCCCUAUGUACCCGGUUCGUUCACCAUCUCCUACGAUAUCCAGUAAGGCUGUCAUUCAUUCACUCACUUAAUCAAAUAAUUUCUCGUUUACCUUUAAUUUCUAAUUCUCAAUUAACUAUAAAUCACUAAAACAAGCAAUACAUGCAUUAAGGGAAUACAAUUGAAUUAUCAUACCAAUUCUAGUGUAUUAUCAUGUAUUUAAAAACAUAAAAUCAAUCAAUCAGUGAAACAUAGCAAACAAUAAUAGAUAAUCGGUUCCGGCUCCAUUAGUAACAUUUAAUUAUCAAUAUUUCUAAAUAAGGGGCACAAUCAAAUUAUCAUACCAAUUCCAGUGUAUUAUCAUGUAUUCGAAAAUGUAAAAUCAAUCAAUCAGUGAAACAUGGAAAAUAGUAAUAGAUAACCGGUUCCGGCUCCAUUAGUAACCUUUAAUUAUUGAUAUUUCUAAAUUACGCAAAAUACCAUAUUAUUCAUAAUUAAACUUCAAUUCCAUAACCGGGAAUAAGUUUAUGGAUUCUUACACAAGUUGAUAUAUGAUAUGUUAAACUUUCAGUCCUGCCUACUAACGGUCUCCGGGUUCCCUGAAUUUUUUUUCGGGGAUUAAAACAUAUUUCAAGUACCUAAAAACAUCUUAAAAAAUCCAAAAUCAGUGUUAAAAACCCCUUUUGGCCAAUUCCAGAAUUCUGGCAUAGUGGCUACGCCGUGCUCCGACGACAGCACCACUACUUGCAGCGACGGUUUGCCUUGGGUUGGCCAUUUUCGGCCGAUUUUGUACACAUCCCUGCGAAAAAAUAUGUUAAGGGGCCUUGGUUGGCCCAAAAAAAAUGAAAAACCGAAGUUUACCGGCGGCGGAAUUUUCCGGUACGGCGGCUUCGCGGCUCACGUUCGUGGUUGGGUAUUUUGCUUCGGUUAACUUGUAGAAAAACGAAUGAUGAUUACAAUGGUGGAAAAAUUACACGAAACUAGAAUCAAGAAUGGUCUCAUCGGAUGCAGUUUUUUACUUUUUGCUGCGAUGAUGCUAUCGGGCUUUACCCGCAGUUUUUGGCUUAUCCACUAGUCCUUUUGCUCCGAUUUAGCCAUGGGGGUGUUUAAAAUUGAAUUUCGAGCAAAUGAGAAAAAUUUUACCUCUUUUGGUGGUUGGAAAUGGCUCCGGCGCGGCGAUGGGUAGCGAUCAGCUCCCUUUCCGGCGGCUAGCUCUUCUUCUCCGGCAGAUAGGGUUAGGGUUUGGUGUGAAAAUGAGUAUUUAUAUCCGUUUCCUUUUAAUUUGAGCCGUCCAUCGUGUUUAAUCUAAACUGUCCGAUCGCAUUUAAAUAGGAAGUGAAUGUGGACCGUUCAUCGCGAUUUAAUCUGGGUCAUUCGAUCGCAUUUAAAUAAGAAGAGAAUCUGGACCGUUCAUCGCGUUUAAUCGCAACCGUCCGAUCGCGUCUGAGGGCAAAACUGAUCCGAACAGUCCACACGCGCGGGAACGAAUUUGAACUGUCUGAUCGCGGGCACGCGGAUCGCCAGCGAGGCCUCCCGCAUGGCACCGUGUCAGCGUGCCUUGAUACGUGGCGUGCUUCGGUUCAUCGGAACUGCUAACUGGGUAUCCUACGUGACACAUUUUUCUUAAAAUAUAUUUUGACUCCCAGUUUCUGAUUUUUCUUUCAAAAAUACAUUCAUAACCUAAAUUUUCAUCACUUUCUUCUAAGAUUAUUUUUAAUUUCAUCGUCUACUUAUUUUUUCCUAAUUUUACAUUAAAUAAUAAUUUAUAAAAUAAAAAAUUAAAUUUUAUACAUAAAUUUAAAUAUUACAAAUUUAAUUUCAGGUAUUACACCUAGUGUACAACCUGCCACACAAAGUAUUAUCUUUGUAAGUAAACUCACGAUCCUUUGGAUUGUCCUUUGGAUUGUUUAGGUAAAAAUAUUUAAAACUCCGAUUAUGAUUUGUUUAUAGAUCUCGUAAUUAAGAGAUUCAAUCUGAGGUAUCAAAUUUCUAACUUCCAACUAUGGAAGCAGAGAAAAAGUUGUAGGUAAAAAAUGAAAAUUAGAAAGCCACGUUUCAGGUUGAAGAGAUAGAGAGUAUAUAGUGAUGAACAGAAGAAAUUGGGUUCACCCAUGAAGACUGGGAGUGUAUACGAUAACGGAGCAACAAAUGCAAUAUGAUCAUAUCAUAUAUGCAGACUAUGAGUAUACAAGUAAAUCCACAAACAAUUUCAACAUCAUCAGACAGGCUCCUAUAUUUGCUUUCUAGAAAACAAAGAAAAAGGAAGAAGAAAAAUCACUGACGGAACCACAAUUCGAACAAUAAAGGAAUCUUUGCGGAGGAAGCAGAAUCAAACUGAGAUAUCAGAAGGGCAUAAGGCCUGAGAGACUGCUCAUAAUCGAAACUUGAGUAGCAGCCUAAAAGAUCUUCUGGGUCUGUCCAUUCAAUUCCAUCAAGUUUCUCCACAUCAAUAAGAUUCAAAGCCCGCCUUUCAAAUGCUUUCCAGCUCUCCAUCAUCACCAUUCUCCAACCCCAUACAUUUUUCUUAUCAUCCAACUCAUGGCAGCAAAUGAACUUACAACCCUGGCUCAGUAUUCGAAUGGCUUGCUUCUGCAAUUCAGGAAAACAAUCGCCGCAUUUCUCCCACCAAAUUCCUGAAAAUCAACUCAACAUUAUCAACAUUAUACCUUGCUAAUAACAAAACUAAAUUUUGUUUCCUAAUACUUACUGGGAUGGAAUGAUUUUGCCAUCUCUAUGGCAGUGUCUGUGAAUAGAAUUGGGUCCAUGGACUGGUACUGUAUCAGUUGUGAGACACAAGCCUUCUCCUCCUCAUCACUAGAGAAAAUGAGGUUGGAUAUAAAUUGCUUAAUCCGAUUAAAUUGGAGAUCAGCUUCCUUGAAUUUCUGGGCAAGCAAGUUAGAUGGGUUAAGAAAAGCUGCACUUUCAUGAAUUGGAAAGAUAAUGUCUUUUUUGGCUUCAGAAAACAAUUCCCAUAUGAUUUGAUAAUGAGCAGAGUCCAGUGCAUUUUUGUCCUCAACGUAUUCAGCAAGGCUAGACUGUGUCUUCUCCAACAGCUCGUACAAGUAUCCCAAACCUGGACUGUCCACUGAAAGUAGCAGAGACAUAGCUUGAAAUAAUGGGCAUAAAAUCAUCUCUAACCUUUUCAAUCCAUUCCAGAAAUCCUUGCAAUGAAUGACGAAGUUAAUGAAAAUUGCAGCUUCUUUGUCUUCAUGCUCCACCACCUGAUCACUACAUACUUGGAUGGGUUGCAGUGUUUGUUCAAAUCUGAUAAGUGAUUUCAACACCCAGAAUCCGCUUGCAAUUUUGCAGAGCUCAGCAUCCCAAUGCUUGUGAUUCAAGCACCCAACAACCGCAUCCAAAUUCUUGAAUUUACUCAUAUCCUUUGGAAUGCAAACAAUCCUGGGUUCGUAAUAUUUGUCUAUGAAUUUGGAAACAACCGUAGCAGAUUUCACUAUAUUCCGCACAAAACCAACUUGGAAUAUGUUCACUAAAAGUUUCCCAACAACCCCAGCAGCACAUUUGCUGAUGACAGUCACCCAUGGAUACUGUUCAUUGAAAAGAUUCAUCACAGAUUGAGGAACUUUCUCAUGAGCCAAGAACUGAACAAUGUUUGCAGGAUCAAUGACAUCAAGCUGUUCUUUGAUAUCCCGUACCCAGUACUUCUCUGAAUCCCAAGGUAAAGCUUGGCUACUUUGAGUUUGAGGAUAAACAUCAGGCCAUAGAAAUAUCCCUUUCGGUGUAUAAACCCUUAUGCCUCUAAAUAUCUCGUACCAUGACCUGAACUUCUUUAUAUCAGGGGUUAUGGUGCAACCAGUUUUGUUUAAAGACUGCUUCAAAUCUUGGAAAUACUCAUCCACUUCUUUCUCCACUUGAGGAAUCAAGUGAGUGUCCAGAGUUUCACGAUCUGGCAGUUGAUAAGGAGACCCGAAUUCUGAUACCGCCUUUAUGAAGUCAAUAAAGAACGGUGAGUCCGUAAAAUCAUAUGAAGAUUCUGAAUCUUUGGGCCUGCUUGUAGCAAUGAACUUGGCAAGCAUUUUGUCCACUGAUUCUUUAUCCUUGUUCUUUGCCUCCAUGACUGCUACAGCACCUUGUGAUGCUGGUGGUGAGGAAGCACAAAUGAUCGCCUUUGACAUGAGAGUGUUUCUUGUUUUCUUGGCAGCUGGUUAUGAAUUAAAAAAGACAGCGAGAGAGAGAGAGAGAGUCAAUGCUAAAAUGAAAUGACAAAAAGAAAGUUAAUCAUCAUCAAAACCACAAAGAAACUAUAUGCAAGAAAGAUUCUUGAAAGAUACAGAGAGAAAAAUGGUGAGAUUCAUAAACUGAAGGGAGUAAAAAAGAAGAGCAGUUUCUUGAAGAAAGAAUGAAGAUUUGGCGAAACCUUACAGCAGAGGGAACCGUUUGAAUUCUGUUAUUACUGUUGAAUGUAGGGGGCAGGGGUUUAUAUAGAGAGUAAACUGUAGAAAGGGUUUAAUUGUUGGACUGUCUUCGGCUGGGCUUUUAUAUUUGUGGAUUGACUUCGCAAUUUUGAUUUAAGUUUUUGUUGAGGCCCAAGAGUUUCCGGCCUAAAAGCUUGGCUUCUGUGUUUUCACGCAAAUGUAAAAAAUUUGCAGAUGAUUGAGGAAGAAAGAUAUGCUGCAGCUGUGGAAUUGAGGAGACAGUAGGGAAAUGACAGCACUUCAACUGUGUCGACUGCCACUCUCACCUGCUGCAACCCAAUCCUCCUCCUUUGGUCACACCCUUUCAUGUUCAUUUCUAGCUCUAGUGACAAAACCCUAUUCACAAUUCAAAGGAGGAAAACCAGAGGAAAAACUGUACGGAUCCGAAAGGAGGAUCUUACAGAAACGCAACUACCCACCUCCUCACCUGCCCAAAAUCAACAGCAGCAAGAACCUGACCUCCAAAAAGUUCGUUCUCUUUUUAUUUUCGUUUGUUUUUUUAAAAUGAAUUUCUUGCUUAUCGAUUUCUUCAUAGUAAUGAAUCAUUAAGCUGUGUGUCUGUAUAUGCGUACGUCUUGGAGCUAUUCAGGAAAAAUAAGGACAUGCUCUUCAGCGAGGUUGAAAUAUCACUUACUCCUUUCUAUGUUCGUUUGACCAAAUAUCAUAAUUUUCAGUGUUCCAAUUUUCUAAGGUUAAACUCACCAUGAUGAGUUCUUACGUUCUAAAUAAAUCAUGAAUUUAGUAAAUAUUUCUUGGAACUCAAUACAUUUUUCUACUAAGUUUUUAGUUCAGUUGCAUUCGUUUGUUUUUAUAUGUACUCCAAUGAAUAUAUUUCUCUUUUGAAUCUCCAUAAUUCAUUAUUAAAGUUCAUUAAUUUUGAUGAAUUUGAAAUGUAUUGUUUUAACUCUACUUAAAAUUUAUUUGAAAUUAAACUCCUAUGUUUGAAAAUUGCAAGUUCGAAUAGUUAUUAUAUUAAAAACAAUCAUAGCAAAAUCUCUAAUAUCGUUAGUAAUGUUGUAAAUUAACUCACCCUCAUUUAAAUUUAAAGAUAAUAAAUCAUUACUUUUUGUGUUUCCUGAUCAAGAUUCAUUCACUAUCAAGGUAUUCACGUGAUUGUGAGUACAUUUGAAUGAUUUGCAAUUCAUAUAAUGAUGAGGUUAUUGAUAGAUUUCUAGAUAUUCACGAGUUUAGUAUUAGUAGUGUAAUUUCGUAUCACUGCCCAGUUGGGUUAAAGAGAAAAUAUAUAAAUUAGGGUCCUAAGCCUUUUUGGGUUCUCAAUGCAAUAGCCAAUAUGAAAGGUCUUCAGAAGCUUGUUAGAGAAAAAUGGACCAAUUACUCAGUUUUGAGAUUCACUAGCACUAAAUUAUCACACAAAAAAAUCUCAAAUUGUUAAAGAGAGCAUAUUUUAAGUGUCGCAUGGUAGAUUCAAUAGAAGAGGAAAUAUAAGAAACACAAGAAUGUUUAUGUAGAAUUGUCAAAGACUUAGAAUAGAACCAUAUGAAGAGAGGGACUGGGGAGCUUUUAGAGAAAAAGAAUUGGAAACUAAAGGUAAUUAGAAUGGAUGAGUGUAUAACUAGGGGAACAGUGAGGAUUAGAUGGCUAAGGAAGGGGAAAGUAAUACUAGGUUUCCCAUAAGAUGAUUAAUGUUAGGUGUAGAGUAAAUAGUGUUGCAUUUUUAGGCUUAAAAGUUAUUAAAAUAGAUGACCCAUAAGUAAUAAAAGAGAGUUUUAAGAAUUUUUACUGUGAACAUUUUGAAAACAAUAAUAGACAAAGUAUACAACUACAAGGGAUAGACUUUAAUAAAUUUAGCGAGGAAUAGAAAGUAGGGCUAGAGAAACAAUUUUCAGAAGAGGAGAUUAAUUUCACUGUCUUUGAGGGAAAGGGGGAUAAGGCCCCACGGUUAGAUGGUUUUCAUAAAGCAACUGGAGGUGCUUGCUGAUAUUCUGCAGGUUAUGGAUGAAUUCCACUGUAUGAAAUUUUUUUAAAAUUCUUUAAAACUUUCCUAACCCUUUUUCGAGAAGUAGAGAAUCCGACAGGUUUAAGAGAUUUCAGGCCUAUUUCACUAGUUAAUAUUGUGCAUAAAAUAAUCAUAGAAGUGUUGAUGAAUAGGAUAUGACGUAAAAUGUGGCUUGGUUAGUGAAUCAUAGUUGCUUUUUUUGAAAGAUAGACAAUUGAUGGAUUGCAUAUUGAUUGCUUUAAAAAUGGUUAAUUUAAUGCAAAAAAUAAUAGGGACAGUGUGUUUUUAAAGGUUGAUUUUGGAAAAGCUGAUGAUAUGAUUGAUUAGAAGUUCCUAGAAUGUUCUGAAUGAAAUGAAUUAUGGUAACAAAUGGGUGAAAUGAAUUAUGAAAUGUAUCUCUUCUGUUGGCAUCUCUAUUCUGAUUAAUGGUUCUCCUUUUGGACAGUUUAGAAUGAAAAGGGGUUUAAGGGAGGGGGACUUGCUGUCCACUUUCUAGUUUCAUAUAGUAGCAGAAGGCUGAACUAAAUGUAAAUAGAGCAGUGAGUAAUUGGGUUCAUAAAAGAAGUUCCUUUUAAUAAUUCAGGGAGCAAUUUCAGUUCACUUCAAUUUGUGGAUGAUACAUUGUUUUUUGUAAUAAGAUGAGGAUCAUAUCAUAAAUUUUUAGAGAUUUUUGGGGUGUUUUGAGUUGAUUUCUGGUUUAAAGGUUGUUUUUUUGAUAAGCAAGGUAUAUGGAAUUGGUGUAGAUAAUGGGCAGAUGGAUAGGAUAGUAGAGCAAAUUAGACGUGAAGUAGCCUUCUUACCUUGUAUAUGCUUAGGCUUCCCUUUGAGAGCUAAUCCAUCCUCUGUUAACAUGGCAACCAGUUUUUGAUAAGAUGGAAAGAGGUUAGCGGCAUGGAAGGUUAAAUAUGUGGUAAAGGCCGUUUUGGAAUCAAUUCCAUAUUUUUUAUGUCACUGACAUAACUACCAAUAGGGUUAGAAAAAAUUUGGGAAGUAUCAUUAGGAACUUUUUGUGGAUAGCACCAAAGACAAUAGGAAGGUUCAUUUAGUAUCUUAUGGAACAAUUUGCAUACCUAAGAGGGAGGGAGGACUAGGGUUUGGUAGUAUUGCUGAAAUGAAUAGGACAUUACUGAAUAAGUGGACAUACAUGUGUUGUGAUGAAGUGGGAACUUUUUGGAGGAGAGUUAUAUGUGAAAUUCAUAAUAAUGGUGAGCAUUAGUCCCACUGAGUGAGAGACUACCGAUGGGUUCGACAGGUUUUUGGAAAGGUAUCAUUAAGGACAACCUAGAAGAAUGUGUUUUUACUUUUAAUGAUCAUGGCUGUUUUAUACUUCUCCUUGAUGAUGGUUCUAUAAUUGAUUUUUGGAAUGAUCUGUGGGUAGAAGAGGAAAGCCUUUACUGUAGGUUCUUGAGAAUAAACUAUUUGUCCAUUGCCAAAUCUAGUCUGGUGUCGGCCUUUGGGGAAUGGAAAAACAUCUUUGGCUGGGAAAGUGAUUUUAAGGCCCAUUUUAAUAAUAUCUUGAGGAACGUAACUUUGAAUAAGGAGUCCAAGGAUAGGAUUGUUUGGAAUUUUAAUGUGGUUGAGAUUUUUUAGUUAAGGGUGAAAGGGGUACACUAGGUGUCUUUUAGGUGUUGAGGAGAGACAAGCUCUUGAGGCUAGUAUUUGGAAGUCACAAAUACUCCAUAUGGUUAAAAUGUUUUCCUAACAAUUGAUUAGAAGACGGGUAUUAAUGUUAAAUUAUUUCCAUAAUUGUAGGAUUAAGUUAGAUAAACCCAAGUGUUUGUGUUUUGUAAGGGCAACACAGAUUCAAUAGAUCAUGCAUUCCCUCAUUGUAUAUGGAGCUGGAAAGUAUAGGGUACAUGAUUAGGUUGGUAUGAUAUUGAAAGGGUCACCCUGGGUUCAAUUAGGGACCUAUUAAGUUUCAUUGUGGGUUGAUAAAGGGAGGGAAAAGAUUUGGGGAACUUUUAUUUUUUUAUUAUAAUUUGAGGUUUAUGGUUGGAAAAAAUGGUAGCAUUUUCAGACAAAAGAAGAUGGGUGUUGGUGAACUUAUGGAUUUGGUUAGGAUUCGGUUGGCUUGGUGGAUUAAUUCAUGCAUUCCCAUAUUGAAGCAAUUGGCUUUGAAUAAUCUCUUCAUCUCAAUUCUAGAGUUGCCACUUGCGAGAAGAAAAAAUGGCGAGAUCAAACCUAUUGUUUGGGACCCUACUCCGUCUGGUUGUUGGAAAUUUAAUGUUCACAAAUCUUUUUUUAGGUAAAUCUAGGCCUGCAGGUUUUGGUGGCAUGUUAAGAGGCUGGUUGACAAACAUAAGGUGUUUCUUUUAAAAAAAUUAUGGCAUGUUAGACUCUAACAUAGUUGAAUUGAUAGCGAUUAAAAAGACUUACGGUCUGCUUGUUUAAUCAUCCUAUGGCUGGUGUGGAUAAUGUUCUUGUGGAAAGCGAUUCUACAAUGGUUAUGUUGUGGAUGUUGAAAGAUAAUUAUCCUUGGAAGCUGAAUAAGAUCAGAAACGAGAUAAAAAAAUAUGAAGAAUUUGUCGGGAAAUAUUGUUUUUAUGAUUAUAAACAAAGAAAAGAACACAAUUGUUGAUGUCGUAGCCAAGUCUGGUGUAAAUAGACAAGAAGAAGUUUGCAUCUGGUUGUAAUAUGUGAGUUGAUACUUAUUCAGUUUCUAUUGUCACUAGGAAACAUUUCUUGACCUCGUUGGCUGCCCUUUCUUUUCAGCUUGGACUUGCUUUUCAUGGGUAUUUGGUGUGGGAUAUUCUUGUGUGGUAAUUUGUGCGAGUGGGCUGCUUUUUUGGUACUUAUCUCUAAAGGUUGUUUGCUAUGGACUCUGCUCAUUACCAGAUCAUGUGGGGAUUGUUUUGUGAAGCCGGAAAAGACAUUAUUUUUCCAAUUCAUGAAACUGCAGCUUUUCUUAACCCAUGGAUUAAAGAUUCAGAAAUUCGAGGAAGCUGAUCUCUAGUUUAAUCGGAUUAAAUAAUUUAUAUCCAACCUCAUUUUCUCUAGUGAUGAGCAGGAGAAAAGGCUUGUAUCUCGCAACUGAUACAGUACCAGUCCAUGGACCCAACUUUAUUCACAGACACUGCCAUAGCAAUGGCAAAAUUAUCCCAUCCCAGUAAGUAUUAACAAACAGCAUUUAGUUUUGUUGUUAGCAAGGUAUAAUUAAGUUCAUUUGCAGGAAUUUGGUGGGAGAAAUGUGGACAUAGCUUUCCUGAACUGCAGAAGCAACCGAUUCAAAUAUUGAGCUAGGGUUGUAAGCCCGUUUGCUGCCAUAAAUUGGAUGAUAAGAAAAAUGUGUAAGAAAUAUAAAUGUUAUGUCUACGAGCUAAUUAUAUAUGUAAUAUAUUGAAUACAUUAUUAUUUAAUGAUCUAUUUUAAUAUAUAGUAAUAAUCUUUUUAUCAUCUUAUUAUUUAAUUUAUUUGAUAAAUUUUUUUUAUUAAAUUUAUAGAUUUUACAUUAAAAUAGCGAUCUUAAUAAUGAGAAUAAAAUAUUUUAUGAUUUAAUUUAAAAUAUUUUUAGUCGUUGAAUAAUUAAAAUAGAAUAUUAAUGAUCUGGAAAAACUAAUAUAUGUGCGAUAGUUUUUAUGAGAUAAAAAUUAAUUGAUCUCGUUAACUAAAUUACAUAUAUAGAUAAUGUAUAUGUAGAUAUGAUCAUUAAACCAAUUCAAUCGAGAAUUUUUAAUGAUUAAUAUUAUCUUAAACCAUCAAUAGAUUAUUCUCUUAGAAUGAUGAGACGUAAGAAUUUUUUUAUAUAUGAAAUCAUCACAGUAAUUGACAAGUCGUUUAUUAUAUUUUAAUUUUGAACACCUAUAGUUGAAAGGAUAUUUAGUGUGAUUAAAUAUUUAUAAAAUUAAUUAUUAAUCAAGAUUGAGGAUCUAUCAACUUUAGUAAUAAGUUUAAGUUCUAUAUUAUUAUUUAUUAUAAGAACUAUUUUAAAAUAUUUGACAGAACAGGUAAAUGAAAGAAGAAAAUAAUUUUUUAUGUCAUUCAUUAGUCAGUUAUAAUUGACAUGAAAUAUAGUUGGUUAUCUAUGGAGAUUUGACAGUUAAAUUAUAUUUUAGAGUUAAACCAGAAUAAUAAUGAUAAAAGAAAAUAUUACAUCUUUUGUUAGCAGAUUUUUAAGAGUAAUUGUAUAUUUUAAAUUAUACGGUCGUUGAGAAGUAUUGUUAGACACCAAUCCUGAUUAGUAAAUUAGUUUAACCAAUUUAUUAUCGAAUUAGUACAGAGUGUUCGAAUUUUUAAAUAAUUUUAGUUUAAGAAUCUUCUAUGAGAUAUAUUUUAAAUUUAAUUUUUAAUUUGUAAGUGCAGAUAAAUAAAAUUAAAUUAUUUUAUAUUUUUUUGUUACAUACUAUAAAAAUAUUACAAUACUGCAAAAUAUACUGGGUUGGAAAAUGGUGAUGAUGGAGAGUUGGAAAGCAUUUGAAAGGCGGCGGGCUUUGGAUCCCAUCCAUUGACGUGGAGAAACUUGGUGGGAGUAAAUGGAUAGACCCAGAAGAUCUUAUGGGGUGAUAUUCAAGUUUUGGUUUACGAGCAGUCUCUACCUCAGUUGGAUUUCUGCUUCCUCCGCAAACCUGUCCGAUGCCUUUAUUGUUUGAAUUGUGAUUUUUCUUCUUUUUUUUAUGGCAAAGUGGAAUUGUAGGAGUCAGUCUGAUGAUGUUUGAAAAUGUUUGUGGGUUCCUCAUUUACUCAUAGUUUGGAUAUAUGAUAUGAUCAUACUGCAUUAGCCGUUCUUAUAUCCUCCUAUACUCCCCACAUUUUAAUUUUAAUUUUUUUUUUUUUUGUACCUAUAACUUUUACUCUGCCUCCAUGACUUAGAAAGUUAAGAGAUUUGAUGAUACUUAAAGAUUCAAAUCUUUUUUUAUAAUAAAAAACUAAUUUUAAAUAAAAUAAUAAAAGAGAUUGUGAUUCUACUUUUUACGGCAAGGGUAAUGUUUUUGGUAUUUUGAAUUAAAAUAUUCAUAAAUACCAUUUUGUCAAAAUAUUUACUAAAAGAGAUGAUGUUUAUCAAUCAAGAGUAGAUCGUCGGUAUGUCACAAACAUAUCUCCUUGUGAGGUGAUUUUUUAGUGGUAGAUGGGCAUGUAGGUAAAGACUAUUACUACUUUCCACUUUUUUAAUGGUUUGCAUUUUCUUUUCUUACAAAUUGUUUCAAACACCUUGUUUUAUAAUGUCAAUUUAUUUUCUUUCUUACUUACAAAUUAUAAUAUAUAUAUAUAUAUAUAUAAUACAUAAAAAUUUUUUGCAUCGACUAGAAACUUCCAACAUUUUUUAAUUUAACAUAAUUAAAUAGUACUUAAACAAUUAAAUAAAAGGUUGAUUUUAUAAGUCAUAAAAUUUUAGAGUGUCUAAUAUCUCUCCCAAAAUGCACCUAGCCUUUGGACUCAUAAUUAGGAUAAGGAUGACCUAAUCGCAAAUGAAUUUUGAUUAUUCUAUUUUUCUUGAUUGUAUUUAAUGAAUAUUACAAUCUAUAUUUCUCCGAUAUUAGCUCAAACUCUGUGGUAAAUAGUAAAGACUAAUUAUGCACCGGUCUAAAAUAUCUCAUAAACAUUAUGACUUUAGCGGGGUAGAAAAGAUAGAUUCUAAAAAAUUGUUGAAGUUUUUAAAAUCCUUUUUUUUUUUUUUUUUUAAUUUCAAAUUUUCUUCCAUCAUUGUUAAUAAGAAUUGCAAUUGCCUUGAUAAAAUGGGAGCAUGAGAUCUCAAGCUCCAUUUAAACCAAUAUUUUGUAUCAUGUAAAUUAUUACCUGAAGUUGAGAAUUAAAAAUAUAUCAAAAGAUAAUUUGUAUUCUUUCUACUAACAUAUUUAUUUGAUUGAUAUAUACGAAUGGCAUUUUGUUUGGAAAACCGAUUGAUUAAACUAAUUUCUCGAACUAAACUCAUAUCUACACUGUUAGAAAUUUUAAUAGGAUGGUUUUAGGGUAUGGAAAACUUUUCUCAUCUUUAUCAACACCAAUUUCCCCAUCCUUGAUCGCAUCGAAAACAUGUUUAUAUUUCUUAUUCCUAAACUGUUAAAGAAUAUGAAUUUCUUGCUUUUCCACGUGGAUUUCUUUUCUUCUUUCAUCUUUUCAAAUUAUAAUCAAAUUAAAACUAUAACUACACAUAUUUUUAAUCUAAAUACCAAAUUAUUUUAAAAAAUCUUAAAUUCAAUAUACUUAAUAGAUUUGUUUUAAAACAAAUAUCUAAGUUAUUUUUAAGUAACGUGAUUUGAUAAUUUUUUAGUUAGUAAAUAAUAAAAAACUGUAGCAAUUCGGGAUUUAAAAAGAAAUAAAUUAUAAAUUGAAUGCAGAAGCGAAAUAAUAAAGUUACAGUUUACAUUCCUUAUACAAUAAUUUAGAAUACUUAAUAGGGUUACGAGAAUGACUCUUCUAAAAGAACAAACGAAAAAUCAAAGAAAUAAAUGAAAAAUAAAUAACUGGGCAUCCUAUUCGCAACCUUCUUGUGAAUCGGAAUCUAAAUCUUGAUCAUCUUGAUCUGAAAUGGUUAAUGGAAGAGUGAGCUCUACUAAACUAGUAAGAAUGUCACACUACUCAACGAUAUAGAAAUGAAUGUUGGUAAAAAUUAUAAAAACAACUAAUAGAGCUCUUAAUUUAAGUAAAUUCCUUUAUCAUAAAUAAAAUUAUUUAUUACAUACUUACCAUAGUGAGAUUUUCAAAAUUAAUUUAUAGAAACAACAUCAUAAUUUCAUUUUCAAUUAGCCAAAACAACAACUUUCCAUUUUUAUCUGCUUACUAAUAUCCAUGGGGGUCUAUAGAGAUGUCCCCAUUAUACGUGAACCUUUACGGUUUUUGGUUUUUCUCGCAAUGGCGCCGUUGGGCAUUAGCCGCAGUUUCCGGCUCAUCUGCCAGUCCUUUUACUCUGAUACCAUCAGGUUGUUCAAAAUAAAAUUUCGAGCAAAUUAGAACAUUUUUACAUUUUUUGGUGUUCAGAGGUAGUUCUGGUGCGGCGAGGGACAGCGGUCAACUCUUUUCUCCGGCGACUGGUUCUUCUUCUCCGACGGGGGGCUGGCGGGUAGGGUUAAGAUUCGGUAUGAAGUGAGAUAUUUAUACAUGUCUUCUUUUAAUUUAGGCCGUUCAUCGCGUUUGAUAUCAACUGUCCGAUCGCGUUUAAAAAAGAAAUAAAUAUGAACCGUUGAUCGCGAUUUGAUAUGUACCGUACGAUCGCAUUUAAAGAUGGAACAAAUCUGAACCGUUUAUUGUGUUUAAUCGCAAUCGUCCGAUUGCGCUGAAGAGCGAAUGGAUCUGGACCGUCCAUGCGGAUGGGAACAAAUCCGGAUCGUUCGAUCGCGGGUAUGCGGAUUGCCAGCGUGGCCUUCCGUGUGGUAUCGAGUCAAUGUGUCUUACCACGUGGGGCGCUCCGGUUCCUCGUGACUGCUUAUUGGGCGAUCCUGCGUGGUAUAUUUUUCCUAAAUUGCGUUUUGACUCCGAAUUUUCGAUUUUUCUUUUAAAAAUACAUCCAAAACCUAAAUUUUUACCUCUUUUUCUAAAAUUAUUUUCAAUUUCAUCAUCCACCUAUUUUUUUCUAAUUUUCACAUUAAAUAAAAAUUCAAAAAUUUAAAAAUUAUAUUUACAUAAAUUUAUUUUUAUUUUUUUAAAAAAUUAAUUUCGGAAUAAAUUUUGGAGCUCGAGUAUUACAAAAACAUUACGUGCAUAUAUAAAAGAAUAAAAAUAUAUUAUUAUAUACAUGAAGUGAGUAAAGUAGGAUGGAAUGAGGUAGGAUAGGGACCUAUUUCCUGAGUUUUUUCCCUAAUUUAAAUGAGCUUAAGAAUUUUCUCAUUUCUUAUUUAAUUGGAAGUCAAAUGAGGGACUGACUCAUACUGUUUGAUGAUUUCUCAUUAGAUCUUUGUCAGAUUUAAAUUAACAUGUCCUCUCUAUGAAAACCAUUAAUUCUUUUUAAAGCAUUAGAAAUGUUUGUGUUUGGAUCCUGAAAAAUUUCUUAAGCUUAUAUGUGUUAAAACUUUUAAUUACACAUCAAAAUUAUUUUUUAGUGAAAGAAAUGACUUCUAUAUAGUCCAAAGAAGCAAAAUCUCAUAUUAAAAAAUACUAUAACUUGUAAUAUCCUUUUUCUGUUGGUAAAUACUAUUAUUGAUUAUCUUUUUUAUUUUAGUACAUAUUUAAAUAAAAUGAUAUCUAAAAAGAAUUUGCUUAUUUCUUAAGACAAAGUUGUAAAUAUUUUUAAAAACUUCAAAAUUAAUCGUAAAUAACAUUUAGUGAAAAACAUCACGCCAAUAUGAUCCUUCAUAAGGAGGAAUGUCUUUAACUAAACUUACUUAAUAAACAUAUUGAUUCCUCCUUAAUUGAUAAACAUCAUUACUCUUUGGUAACAUAUUUUUAAAAGAUGGUAUUUAUCUUACUUGAAAAGGAAGUUAUGAGUGUUAAAAUAAGAUAAAAUCUUAAAUAUUUUUCAAAAAUAAUAAAACUUAUUAAUAAAUCAAAAUUUUUAAGUCAAAGUAUUAAAGGUGUGAUUCUUAAUGAAUUAAAUCACCCCUUGUACAACUUAUCACACAAUGUAUGAUCAUUUUAACUUAAUUCACAAUCCUUUAGAUUAUUUUGGGUGAAGAUAUUUCUAACACUAUUAGGUUUUUUUAUACAGCUCAUUACUAAGAGAUUCAAUUCUAGGUAUUAAACCUCUAACUUCCAAAUCAUUGAAGCAGGGAAAAAGUUGUUGGUAAAAAUAUGAUAAUUAAAAUGCCGCGUUUCAGGUUGAAGAGAUAGAGAGUAUACAGUGGUGAAUAGAAGAAAUUUGGUUCACCCAUGAAGAUUAGGAAUAUAUGAGGAUGGAGCAGCAAAUGCAAUAUGAUCAUAUCAUAUAUACAGGCCAUGAGUAUACAAGAAAUCCACAAACAAUUUCAACAUCAUCAGACUGACUCCUAUAUUUCCUUUUCUGAAAAGAUAGAACAAAGAAGAAGAAACAUCACCGACCGAACCACAAUUCGAACAAUAAAGGAUUCUUUGCUGAGGAAGCAGAAUCAAACUGAGAUAUCAGAAGGGCAUAAGGCCUGAGAGACUACUCAUAAUCAAAACUUGAGUAGCAGCCUAAAAGAUCUUCUGGGUCUGUCCAUUCAAUUCCAUCAAGUUUCUCCACAUCAAUAGGAUUCAAAGCCCGUCUUUCAAAUGCUUUCCAGCUCUCCAUCAUCACCAUUCUCCAGCCCCAUACAUUUUUCUUAUCAUCCAACUCAUGACAGCAAAUGAAAGUACAACCAUGGCUCACUAUUCGAGUCGCUUGCUUCUGCAAUUCAGGAAAGCAAUCACCACAUUUCUCCCACCAAAUUCCUGCAAAUCAACUCAACAUUAUCAACAUUAUACCUUGCUAACAAUUAAAGUAAAUGUUGUUUGUUAAUACUUAUUGGGAUGGGAUAAUUUUGCCAUCGCUAUUGUAGUGUCUGUGAAUAGAGUUGGGUCCAUGGACUGGUACUGUAUCAGUUGUGAGAUACAAGCCUUCUGCUUCACAUCAAUAGAGAAAAUGAGGUUGGAUAUAAAUUGCUUAAUCCGAUUAAAUUGGAGAUCAGCUUCCUUGAAUUUCUGAGCAAGCAAGUUAGAUGGGUUAAGAAAAGCUGCAGUUUCAUGAAUUGGAAAGAUUGUCUUUUUUGGCUUCAGAAAACAAUUCCCAUAUGAUUUGGUAAUGAGCAGAAUCAAGUGUAUUUUUGUCCUCAUUGUAUUCAGCAAGGCUAGACUCCGUCUUCUCCAACAGUUAGUAUAAGUAUCCCAAACCUGGACUGUCCACUGAAAGUAGCAGACACAGCUUGAAAUAGCGGGCAUAAAAUCAUCUGUAACCUUUUCAAUCCACUCCAGAAAUCCUUGCAAUGAAUCCCGAAGUUAAUGAAAAUAGCAGCUUCUUUGUCUUCAUAUUCCAACACAUGAUCACUAAUACUUGGAUGGGUUGCAGUGCUUGUUCAACUCCCGAUAAGUGAUUUCAACACCCAGAAUCCGCUUGCAAUUUUUGGACAGCUCAGCAUCCCAUUGCGUAUGAUUCAAGCACCCAACAAUGGCGUCCAAGUUCUUGAAUUUGCUCAUAUCCAGUGGAAUGCAAACAAUCUUGGGCUCGUAAUAUUUGUCUAUGAAUUUGGCAUCAGCCAUCGCAGAUUUCACCAUAUUCCGCACAAAACCAACUUGGAAUAUGCUCACUAAAAGUUUCCCAAGAACCCCAGCAGCACAUUUGCUGAUGACAGUCACCCAUGGAUGUUGUUCAUUGAAAAGAUUCACCAUAGAUUGAGUAACUUUCUCAUGAGCCAAGAACUGAACAAUAUUUGCAGGAUCAAUGGCAUCAAGCUGUCCUUUGAGAUCCCGUACCUAACACUUUUCUGAAUCCCAAGGUAAAGCUUGGCUCCUUUGAGUUUGAGGGUAAACGUCAGGCCACAGAAAUAUCCCUUGGGGUGUAUACACUCUUAUGCCUCUAAAUAUCUCGUACCAUGACCUAAACUUCUUUAUGUAAGUCGUUAUGGUGCAACCACUUUUGUUUAAAGAGUGCUUCAAAUCUUGGAAAUACUCCUCCACUUCUUUCUCCACUUGUGGAAUCAAGCGAGUUUCCAGAAUUUCACGGUCUGGCAGUUGAAAAGGAGACCCGAAAUCCCAUACAGCCCUUAUUAAGUCAAUAAAGAAUGGUGACUCCAUAAAAUGUUCUGAAGAUUCUGAAUCUUUAGCCCUGCUUGUAGCAAUGAACUUGGCAAGCAUUUUGUCCACUGAUUCUUUAUCCUUAUUCUUUGCCUCCAUGACUGCUACAGCACCUUGUGAUGCUGGUGGUGAGGAAGCACAAAUGAUCGCCUUUGACAUGAUAGUUUUUCUUGUUUUCUUGGCAGCUGGUUAUGAAUUAAAAAAGACAGAGUGAGAGAGAGAGAGAGAGUUAAUGCUAAAGUGAAAUGACAAAAAGAAAGUAAUUCAUCAUCAGAACCACACAGAAACUAUAUGCCGGAAAGAUUUUUGAAAGAUACACAAAGAAAAAUGGUGAGAUUCAUAAACUGAAGGGAGUAAAAAAGAAGAGCAGUUUCUUGAAGAAAGAAAGAAGAUACCAAGGUUUGAUUUGGCGAAACCUUACAGAAGUGGGAACCGUUGAAUUCUGUUACUACUGUGGAAUGUAGUGGGAAGGGGUCUAUAUAGAGAAUAAACUGUAGAAAGGAUUCACGGGUUGGACUCUGUCUUCGAUUGGGCUUAUAUGUUUGAAUUAAGUUUUGGUUGAAGCCCAAAAUUUUCGGGUCUAAAACCUCUGCUUGUCUUUACAAAGGUUGGCUUUCUUAUUGGUUUUUCUCAGUUCUUCAAGAAGAUAAUCACCGUUCGUUCUUAACCACGAAAAUCAAAGUUCACGCAAGUUAUUGCAUGUUUUUGGUUUCCACAAAAAUAAGAAAUUUGCAGGUGAUUGAGGAGGAAAGAGAUGCUGGAGCUGUGGAAUUGAGCAGACAGUAGGAGAAAUGACAGCACUUCAACUGUGUCAACUGCCACUUUCACCUGCUGCAACCCAAUCCUCCUUUCGUCGCACCCAUUCAUGCUUAUUUCUAGCUCUGAGUGAUAAAAGCCAGACCAUAAUUCAAAGGAGGAAAACCAGAG
Molecule: long non-coding RNA, 26677 nt
Filed under: Carica papaya (papaya)
Lineage: Eukaryota; Viridiplantae; Streptophyta; Magnoliopsida; Brassicales; Caricaceae
Description: long non-coding RNA (CPAP_LNC010258)
Source: RNAcentral